Molecule: ribosomal RNA, 266 nt
Filed under: uncultured bacterium
Lineage: Bacteria
Description: partial 16S ribosomal RNA
Rfam family: Bacterial small subunit ribosomal RNA
Source: RNAcentral
GUCCACGCCCUAAACGAUGUCAACUGGUUGUUGGGGAAGGCAACUUCCUUAGUAACGAAGCUAACGCGUGAAGUUGACCGCCUGGGGAGUACGGCCGCAAGGUUAAAACUCAAAGGAAUUGACGGGGACCCGCACAAGCGGUGGAUGAUGUGGAUUAAUUCGAUGCAACGCGAAGAACCUUACCUACCCUUGACAUGCCAGGGAGCUUGCUGAGAGGCGAGUGUGCCCGAAAGGGAACCUGGACACAGGUGCUGCAUGGCUGUCGU